ACAGCAGCCGCCGCGGUAAUACGGAGGGUGCGAGCGUUAAUCGGAAUUACUGGGCGUAAAGCGUACGCAGGCGGUUUGUUAAGUCAGAUGUGAAAUCCCCGAGCUUAACUCGGGAACUGCAUUUGAAACUGGCAGGCUAGAGUCUCGUAGAGGGGGGUAGAAUUCCAGGUGUAGCGGUGAAAUGCGUAGAGAUCUGGAGGAAUACCGGUGGCGAAGGCGGCCCCCUGGACGAAGACUGACGCUCAGGUACGAAAGCGUGGGGAGCAAACAGGAUUAGAUACCCCUGUAGUCCCUGUCUCUUAUAC
This 305-nucleotide ribosomal RNA is filed under the name uncultured bacterium. RNAcentral describes it as "partial 16S ribosomal RNA". It matches the Rfam family "Bacterial small subunit ribosomal RNA", at positions 508 to 807 of the family's 1533-position model. The record is from RNAcentral.